AGAGUUUGAUCAUGGCUCAGGGUGAACGCUGGCGGCGUGCUUGACACAUGCAAGUCGAACGGUAUGUGGCAACACAUAGAGUGGCGAACGGGUGAGUAACACGUGGGAACGUACCCUACGCAGGGGGAUAACUGACCGAAAGGACAGCUAAUACCGCAUAAGACCGAAAGGUGAAAGGUGCAACUGCACCGGCGAAGGAGCGGCCCGCGGACCAUCAGCUAGUUGGUGGGGUAAGAGCCUACCAAGGCAACGACGGAUAGCCGGCGUGAGAGCGUGGCCGGCCACAAGGACACUGAGAUACGGGUCCUACUCCUACGGGAGGCAGCAGUGCGGAAUUUUAGAUAAUGGAGGCAACUCUGAUCUAGCGACGCCGCGUGCAGGAAGAAGGUCUUCGGAUUGUAAACUGCUGUGGUAAGGGAAAAAUGCCAUGUAGAGUGGAAAGCUACAUGGAGGGAUGGUACUUUACUAGAAAGCCCCGGCUAACUACGUGCCAGCAGCCGCGGUAAUACGUAGGGGGCGAGCGUUACCCGGAAUCACUGGGCGUAAAGGGAGCGUAGGUGGCCUGACAUGUCAACUGUGAAAACCCGGAGCUCAACUCCGGACUUGCAGUUGAAACUGCCAGGCUUGAGGACGGUAGAGGAAGACGGAACUGCCAGUGUAGGGGUAAAAUCCUUAGAUAUUGGCAGGAACGCCGGUGACGAAGGUGGUUUUCUGGGCCGGUUCUGACACUGAUGCUCGAAAGCCAGGGGAGCGAACGGGAUUAGAUACCCCGGUAGUCCUGGCCCUAAACGAUGUUCACUAGGUGUGGGGAGCGGAAAGCUUUCCGUGCUAAAGCUAACGCAAUGAGUGAACCGCCUGGGGAGUACGCCCGCAAGGGUGAAACUCAAAGGAAUUGACGG
RNAcentral lists this ribosomal RNA (899 nucleotides) under Thermotogae bacterium enrichment culture clone L11_2_65. RNAcentral's name for it is "bacterial SSU rRNA". It matches the Rfam family "Bacterial small subunit ribosomal RNA", at positions 8 to 916 of the family's 1533-position model. The record is from RNAcentral. Lineage: Bacteria; Thermotogati; Thermotogota; Thermotogae.